UGAGAUGGCACCCAGGGACAUGUCAAU
Molecule: unclassified non-coding RNA, 27 nt
Filed under: Mus musculus (house mouse)
Lineage: Eukaryota; Metazoa; Chordata; Mammalia; Rodentia; Muridae
Description: piRNA piR-mmu-68178170
Source: RNAcentral